UUGAACGCUGGCGGCAUGCUUUACCCAUGCAAGUCGAACGGCAGCGCGGGCUUCGGCCUGGCGGCGAGUGGCGAACGGGUGAGUAAUGCAUCGGAACGUGCCCAGUAGUGGGGGAUAGCCCGGCGAAAGCCGGAUUAAUACCGCAUACGACCUGAGGGUGAAAGCGGGGGACCGAAAGGCCUCGCGCUAUUGGAGCGGCCGAUGUCGGAUUAGCUAGUUGGUGGGGUAAAGGCUUACCAAGGCGACGAUCCGUAGCUGGUCUGAGAGGACGACCAGCCACACUGGGACUGAGACACGGCCCAGACUCCUACGGGAGGCAGCAGUGGGGAAUUUUGGACAAUGGGGGCAACCCUGAUCCAGCCAUGCCGCGUGCGGGAAGAAGGCCUUCGGGUUGUAAACCGCUUUUGUUCGGGAAGAAAUCCUCUGGGCUAAUACCCCGGGGGGAUGACGGUACCGGAAGAAUAAGCGCCGGCUAACUACGUG
Molecule: ribosomal RNA, 483 nt
Filed under: uncultured bacterium
Lineage: Bacteria
Description: partial 16S ribosomal RNA
Rfam family: Bacterial small subunit ribosomal RNA
Source: RNAcentral